This 352-nucleotide ribosomal RNA is filed under the name Ixodes scapularis (black-legged tick). RNAcentral describes it as "partial 16S ribosomal RNA". Lineage: Eukaryota; Metazoa; Arthropoda; Arachnida; Ixodida; Ixodidae. The record is from RNAcentral.
GGUAUUGAAAUAAGAUUUUAAAUGAGUGCUAAGAGAAUGAUUAAACAAUUAAAAGCUUUCUUUAAUUAAAAAAUUAAAUUUAAUUUUUUAAGUGCAAAAGCAAAAAUAAAAUUUAGGGACAAGAAGACCCUAUGAAUUUUUAUUGUUAAUAAUUAAUAUUUAAGUUAUUAAUAAUUUAAUUGGGGUGAUAAAAAAAGAAUAAGUAUCUUUUUAGUUAUAAAAUAAGUUCCGUUUUUAGCGAUUAAAUGAAAUAAAUACUCUAGGGAUAACAGCGUAAUAAUUUUGGAUAGUUCAUAUAGAUAAAAUAGUUUGCGACCUCGAUGUUGGAUUAGGAUUCUUUUUUGGUGAAGAA